Molecule: ribosomal RNA, 1131 nt
Filed under: Triticum aestivum (bread wheat)
Lineage: Eukaryota; Viridiplantae; Streptophyta; Magnoliopsida; Poales; Poaceae
Description: partial small subunit ribosomal RNA
Source: RNAcentral
AUGGCUCUGUGGCGGCGCAGCUCGUCCUGGCUCACGUCCUGCUCGCGCGCGCCGGCCGGCAUCGGCGGCGGGAACGAGGCCAAGGUCUCGCCCGAGGUCGCCCCGGAGGACGCCGCCGCGGAGCACGAGGGCCGCCGCGCGGAGGCCGGGGACGAGGAGAGGUGGUCCCGCCUGCUGCCGGAGCUGCUCACGGACAUCGUGCGCCGCGUCGACGCCGGCGCCGAGCGCUGGCCCCCGCGCCGCGACGUCGUCGCCUGCGCCUGCGUCUGCCGCCGCUGGCGCGACGCCGCCGUCGCCGUCGUGCGCCCGCCGCUCGAGUGCGGCAGGAUCACCUUCCCUUCCUCGCUCAAGCAGCCUGGACCGAGGGAUGCGCCGAUGCACUGCUUCAUCAGGAGGAACAAAAGCACCUCCACCUUUUAUCUUUAUCUCAGCUUAACACAGGCCCUAACGGAUAAAGGGAAGUUUCUACUGGCUGCUCGAAGAUUCAGACACGGGGCACACACCGAAUAUAUCAUCUCUUAUGACUCUGAUGAUCUAUAUCCAGGAAGUAAUUCAGGUGUUGGAAAGCUGAGAUCGGACUUCCUGGGGACAAAGUUCGUCAUGUACGACAACCAGAAACCAUACGACGGCGCCAAGUCCUUGAAGAGCCGAUCAAGUCGCCGUUUUGCAACCAAACAAAUCAGCCCACACGUUUCAGGCGACAAUCUUGAAGUUGGACAGGUGUCAUACAGGUUCAACUUCCUCAAAUCAAGAGGGCCAAGAAGAAUGCACUGCAGUAUCCAGUGCCCCGUAGGCCAGGGCACCGCAUCCGAUCCAUCCAAGGAGAAGCCACCGAGCACCUCCAGCUCCUUGUCUCUAAAAAACAAAGCGCCUCGAUGGCACGACCACCUGCAGUGCUGGUGCUUGAAUUUCCACGGCAGGGUGACCGUCGCCUCCGUGAAGAACUUCCAGCUCGUCGCCCCGGCCGACACCAGCGAUCCAUGGGGCGUCGGGGACGAGGAGACGGUGAUCCUCCAGUUCGGUAAGAUCGAGGACGACGCGUUCACGAUGGACUUCCGGCAUCCCCUGUCGGCCUACCAGGCGUUCGCCAUCUGCCUCACCAGCUUUGGCACGAAGCUGGCCUGUGAAUAA